This 76-nucleotide transfer RNA is filed under the name Mycobacteroides abscessus subsp. abscessus. RNAcentral describes it as "tRNA-Leu(tag)". Lineage: Bacteria; Bacillati; Actinomycetota; Actinomycetes; Mycobacteriales; Mycobacteriaceae. The record is from RNAcentral.
UGGUUCCGUAUCCCAAUUGGCAGAGGAUUCCGGCUUAGACCCGGUUUAGUGUGCGUUCGAGUCGCGCGGGGUCUAC